UGUGCAGCUUAUGCCCGGGAUGGGUAUUGUUUGAAAAAAAAAACAAAGUUCUUUAUACAUAGAUUGGAGGUGGGUGGGGGAAACAUUUAGUACGUAAAAAUAUAAUUAGGUUCUUUUGAAGCAUAAUCCUUCUUUCAAAUUUGAGGCCUUGCUCUUUUCUGGUUCUUCAAGUUUGCAUUACUGCAUCACCUUCUUCUCCUUCUUCUUCUUUUUAAAUUUUUUAUACACAUUUAAACCAAAUCUGAUGACUACAAAGAAACUGUCUUAGUUCACUGAUUAUGUUACAUACUUAGAUUUCAUUUCUUUAUACAAAUUUUUUAUACACAUUUAAAUCAAAUCUGCUUUUUUAUAUGAAAGAGCAAUUUGCACUAUUGGAGCCAAAUAAGAAUGGGUGCAUCUCACUAGAAAAUAUAAGAAUGGCAUUGGUGAAAAAUGCAACAGAUGCUAUGAAGGAAUCCCGCAUUCAUGAUUUUCUUGCUUUGGUAUCUAUUUUACUGUUGACUCUGUAGUUAUUCUUCAAUUUCAAAUGGUUCUGUAUGUUUUAUAACUUUUUACCAAUACUCCUUUCUUCUAUGACAGUUGAAUGCUCUUCAAUAUAGAAAGAUGGACUUUCACACUAGUAGCUUUAUGGUCAGAAGCUAACAAACAUGUCUACACACAAAUGAGAGAGAGAGAGAGAGGAUCCAUUCCAGUGUAAAGAAGAAUCAUCAACGCCUGAUGAAAGGGUGCCGUUCUUUGAAGUGGACAUAGUCCUUGAUGUUGUCUCCUUCCAACUUGAAGCUGGCCCACCACACCAAAUCGCCUUCCACCUUUAGAAAACCCCCACCAACAGUGGUGGUAGAAGCAGCAGCAUUGUUACAGGGAACUUGAAGAGGAAGAUUAUUCAGCUUCAGACAUCCACUCACUCUCAGUUUCUCCAAUGCCGGCAAGCACACCUCACCACAAAAACUCUCCAGCUUAGGUAGCUCCCACAGACACACUGUACGUAGUCUUUGGAGUGAGCCUUUAGCUACCCCUCGAAACACCGCCUCCAGUCUAUUGCAGAAUUUGAUAUGGAGAGUUUUCAGGCUUUCUAAGCAUACAGCUGAGGAGAAGAUGACCACAAGUCUCGGGCAACAAUCCAGAUAUAUGUGCAAUUCCUAAAAAAACACAACCAAGGAAAAAUUCUCUCAAUGAAGCUAGCAGCAGCGGCAACAGCAACAAUGACAAAAAUUUUGGAUGUACAGCAGCAACAGCAAUGGCAGUGUGUUUGUUUUGAAAACUUUAAAUAUACGAUUAAUUGUUUUGUUGGUUUUGUGCUGAUUGUUGUCUUGAUGGAUGUUAAAUGGGUGAAACAUGCACAGCUCAAUCAUUGGUUGAUUAUAAUAUUGUUAGCUUUUGUUGAUAGAAA
Magnolia sinica is the source of this 1390-nucleotide long non-coding RNA. RefSeq lists it as uncharacterized. The record is from RefSeq and is a predicted model, not a curated record. The transcript has 2 exons. NCBI's taxonomy places the organism in Eukaryota, Viridiplantae, Streptophyta, Magnoliopsida, Magnoliales, Magnoliaceae.